RNAcentral lists this ribosomal RNA (744 nucleotides) under Coleoptera sp. NZAC 03014144. RNAcentral describes it as "eukaryotic LSU rRNA". The stretch from base 467 to 744 matches the Rfam family "Eukaryotic large subunit ribosomal RNA", at positions 665 to 910 of the family's 3401-position model. The record is from RNAcentral. Lineage: Eukaryota; Metazoa; Arthropoda; Insecta; Coleoptera.
UACGUGAAACCGUUCAGGGGUAAACCUGAGAAACCCGAAAGGUCGAAGGGGGACAUUCAACCGCGCUCGGUCGGCGGCGAGAGGCGGUCGCGCGACGGUGAUCCCUCCGGGGUGAUCCGCGCCGGCCGCCGACGUCCGUCUCCGAACACGUGCACUUGUCCCCUUGUAGGACGUCGCGACCCGUUGGGUGCCGGUCUACGGCCCUCGGUGGAGCCCGUGCGGAGCCUCGCGCUCCGUCCGGACCCGAGGUGUCCCGGCCGGCUCGCCCGACGGUAUACCGAUGGCGCGGGGCCGCGGCUCGAACGCGUCCGACCCUCCGCAAGUGCGGACGGUAACCCGGCGGUCGGACCUGGUCCGGCUCCGGGCCCGCCCGGCUGCUGGCGGAGGCGCUCUCGGACAGACUCCGUGCACGCCCGUCGGCGACGCUAUAGCUUUGGGUACUUUCAGGACCCGUCUUGAAACACGGACCAAGGAGUCUAGCAUGUGCGCGAGUCAUUGGGAUUGACUAAACCUAAAGGCGCAAUGAAAGUGAAGGCCCGCCUCGCGCGGGCCGAGGGAGGAUGGGCCGGAGCACGAUCCGGCCCCGCACUCCCGGGGCGUCUCGCUCUCAUCGCGAGGAGAGGCGCACCCAGAGCGUACACGCUGGGACCCGAAAGAUGGUGAACUAUGCCUGGUCAGGACGAAGUCAGGGGAAACCCUGAUGGAGGUCCGUAGCGAUUCUGACGUGCAAAUCGAUCGUCGGAA